AUUGAACGCUGGCGGCAGGCCUAACACAUGCCAGUCGAGCGGAUGAAGGGAGCUUGCUCCUGGAUUCAGCGGCGGACGGGUGAGUAAUGCCUAGGAAUCUGCCUGGUAGUGGGGGAUAACGUCCGGAAACGGGCGCUAAUACCGCAUACGUCCUGAGGGAGAAAGUGGGGGAUCUUCGGACCUCACGCUAUCAGAUGAGCCUAGGUCGGAUUAGCUAGUUGGUGGGGUAAAGGCCUACCAAGGCGACGAUCCGUAACUGGUCUGAGGGGAUGAUCACUCACACUGGAAGGUGAACACCGUCCAGACUCCUGCGAGAGGCAGCAGUGGGGAAUAGUGGACAAUGGGCGAAAGCAUGAUCCAGCCAUGCCGCGUGUGUGAAGAAGAUCUUCGGAUUGUAAAGCACGUUAAGUUGGGAGAAAGGGCAGUAAGUUAAUACCUUGCUGUAUUGACGUUACCAACAGAAUAAGCACCGGCUAACUACGUG
This 484-nucleotide ribosomal RNA is filed under the name uncultured bacterium. RNAcentral describes it as "partial 16S ribosomal RNA". It matches the Rfam family "Bacterial small subunit ribosomal RNA", at positions 30 to 507 of the family's 1533-position model. The record is from RNAcentral.